UGCAUCUGUGCCUGCCCAGGCAUGACAGGGCUCAGAGCAGUCCUAGGCUGGCCUAUGCUGAAGAAAAUGCCUGUCACACAGAAGGUUGGUGAGAACCCAGUGAGAUAAUCCUUGUAAAAGGCUUUGGAGAGCUUUAAACACAGCACAAGAAUGAGGAGCAGUUACAAUCAGACUCAACAAUGAAACGGAUCCUUUCUUGUCGCUGAAAGAAUUCACAAAGAAGCUGGCACACAUCCACCCACCAGGCCUAGCGUGAACUCAGAGGCACAGUCAAGAUCCUGAAAUGUUUUCCUGAUCAUCUGAGAAAGCUGGCA
Long non-coding RNA from Hyaena hyaena (striped hyena), 314 nucleotides. RefSeq lists it as uncharacterized. NCBI's taxonomy places the organism in Eukaryota, Metazoa, Chordata, Mammalia, Carnivora, Hyaenidae. The record is from RefSeq and is a predicted model, not a curated record. The transcript has 3 exons.